RNAcentral lists this long non-coding RNA (199 nucleotides) under Elaeis guineensis (African oil palm). RNAcentral's name for it is "long non-coding RNA (EGUI_LNC057447)". Lineage: Eukaryota; Viridiplantae; Streptophyta; Magnoliopsida; Arecales; Arecaceae. The record is from RNAcentral.
CAUCCCCUUGACUUGUCUUUUUCCCUUUCUCUUCCAGAUUUCUCCCCCACAGCAAAGCUCUCCUAGGGAGCACCUUUCUUGGUCAAUUUCUCUCACUGUUCAUUGGACCGCAGCACCGAGACCAUGUCUUCAUACUCCAAGGUCUCCUUGCCAUAGAGCACCAUCGUCACCAAUGGAUCAUAGGAAGGAGGCAGUGAGC